UAUUUGCAAUUCGUAUUAAAAUGAAAAAUUUGUAUUUGCAUUCAUGAAUGAAAAAUAAACAUCCUUUCCAUAUACCUGUUGUCCAAAGACAUUAGUAGUCUUAUAACAGCUGGAGAAUCUUGGGAUCCAAGGGUUAAUGCUGACAAGACAAAAAUUGUUAGUUUCAGUGCCCACCUUUUUGUCAUCUUUGAUUUCAGUUUGUAUUCUGCCUACCAAAUUAAUGGCAAACCACUCUGCAUAAGUCUCAGUGUUGUUGAUCUUAGUAUUAUAGUUGACUCAACUCUGAGGCACCACAAUUGCAUCUGCUCUGUUGCUUCCAAAGCAGCUGGUUUAGCCAACAAUUUGUUAAAGUAUACUGUGCUGCUCCCCCAAAUUUAUGGUUACCCUCCUUAUUACCCACAUAUGACCACUUCUGUAGUGUGGAUCUAAUGUCUGGAAUACUGGUUAUGUCACUGACCUAAAGCUGCUAGAAUCAGUACAGCGACAGUGGACAAAAAGGAUUCAAGGUCUCAAGAAUACAUCACAUGCUCAGCGUCUUAUGGAUCUGGACUUAUUUUCAGUGAAGGAGAGACUGUUACGGGCUGACCUUAUUAAAUGUUGGAGAAUUUUUCAUUGUCUCCCGAAUUUCUCCUACUGAUUUAUUUACUUUGACUCCUACUAUUGGCACAAGAAGACAUCCUUACAAAAUCCUUGUUCUUAACAGUUAUCACGUGAUGUCAAGCAUUGAUUCUUUUCAGUCAGAGUGGUGAAAGUCUGGAACCUCCUUCCUAUCUGUAUCAGUAUCAGAUUCUCCUGAUAGAUUUAAGAAGGGACUGACUAAUUUCUUGGAUGACUGCCUAUUUGAUAUCUGCUGCUUAUCUGCCUGUUAUACCUCUGACAGUUGUUCUGGGCUUAUGGCACACUUUGCAGCCUUUUUUUUUUUAUUAUUAACAUUAAUUGGUGUUUGUCUUUAGGGUUGUCAUGCUAGCUGUGAUGGAGUUCCCUCUUGGGACCCCAACCAGCUGGCCUUGCUUUGAUAAAUUGGACCAGCUCACACCAUUAUAUCAAAGCCAGAAUGGAAGAUACAGCAGCAGUUUCUGCAGCUGAAGCUGGUUGGCAGAAAUCAUCACAAGGUAUCUGAUAAUUGUACUCCACCUACAUCUGACAAAUAACUUAAGUAUUCUAUGUACAUCUCCUUUCCAUGGUCAUUACAGUUAUUAGACUAGUUAUUCUUUGGAGAAACUGUUGAAAUUAAAUUUUUUUUUAGUUUCCUUUAGAUUAAUUUUAAUGAAAUGUAAUAUUGUUGGCUCAUUCCUUAGAUAGAAGGAUACUUUGCCUAAACGUUUGUGCUCCAUCAUUGUAUAUUCCUUUGUAUGGCAUGACUGCUUCAUCAGGUAUAUUGCUUCUAGGUUUCAGAACCUAAGAUUGAGAAUAUUUGAGCACAAAGGAUUACAAGUAUCUUUUAGAACCACCAAAUCCAUAACUCACCCAAUUUUUUUUUCCAAUAUUACAGAACAUACAGUAGCAUUAAAUCUUCAUAUGAAAAAAAAAUAAAUAAAUUUUUUGAUUAAGGCAAAUAGUGAAACAGAUCUCAGAAUAGCCAAAUCUUUAUUAAUCCAUCAAUAUAGACUUCAAUUGAACUCUAAUGACACUUCCAAAUUAAUAGUCUUAAUAAUACAAGAUCAUUCUUUUGUGUAUUCUUCCUUGUUUAGGUAAGGGCUGUACUUGCUUUGUUUUUGUUUAGGCUUAGUGUCACUUGGGUGUAACUAGUGGUGGUUUUGUAGUGUCACUUGGGUGUAACUAGUGGUGGUUUUGUUGGUGCGACACAUGUCCCCCAACAUUGGGCUAGCAGGUCAGUCACUUACCCUAUCUCUUCUAGAGAAGUGGUCUUAUUUUUUAGUGUUGAUGGUUUGAAGAUGUGAUUCCUUUAAUUCCCAAAACAACCGUUAAGUGCCAGUAUUAUGCCUCUAAAUCUUCCUCUACAACUUUAGAUUCCAAGUAGCCAAGCCCUUCUCACAAGUAUCUACCUCAUACACCACUCAGUAGACUAUACAGUGUGAGUGUAGAGGGACAAAGUGGAUGUGAACUAAAUAAAGUCUCUGGAACACAUGUAAGAUUAUUGGUGGUGUAAUAAUAAGUAAAGGUUUUGAUGUUUGGUAUUUGUGACUAAAUUUUUAACAAUUUUUUAUAUAUCUGAUGCUUUUUAUUAAUUUUUGCUUUCUAAAAGUGUCACAAAAAAUACCAAACAACUUUUUUAUAUAUCUGACGCUUUUUAUUAUUAAUUUUUGCUUUCUACAUUUAUCUGAAAGUUUUAAUGUGACCAGAGGGUUUGUGUAUUUCACUUCACUACCACUCACUACCACCUUCCAGUUAAAACCAAAGCAUUUUGACCAGAAAUGACACACGUUUUCCUCUUUUACAUCUGCCUUAAAAUGCCUUGGAAACACUAUUAUUAUUAUUGUUAUUAAUCAAUUGAAAAAAAAGUUAUAAAUACAAUAUGAAUAAUCAUACUUUAUUAAAUAGUCAUGUUAUUGUUCACAUACUGAUGUAUACCUAAUUGAGUAUUACAGUUAUUGACUAUUAUUACAGCAGUCUGUUCUUUCAUCUGUUUUUCAUUUCAGUGAUGUGCUUGCCUGUAAGCAUGUCAUGUGUCAUCAGGUAGCUUGGUCUUCAUUUCACGAGGUUUGACAAUGCAAUGAUAGGUGAGGAAAUAAAUUUGUUUCCUUGAUUUACUUACAAACACAGAUUAGAGGGAGUUGUGUGUGUGUGUGUGUGUGUGUGUGUGUAUUAGCUUUCAAGAUAAGGAAAGAAGUAGAUCGUUGAGGCACAAGAUGAGAGUCAAGUUUAUAAGCAUGGAGGUAUAAAAAUGGUCUGUAAUAAUUAUCAAGAAAUGAAGGACUGAGAUUUAUGAUCCAAGUAGUUGAAAUUAGUUACUUGAGAAACGUCUGGUAUGCCAGGAAUGGAUAACUUGAGUAAUAAUGAUUGUAUACCAGAUAUGCAUUGUCAAGUAAAGGAAAAGGGAUGAAAUGUUGAGCGGUUGAUAGGUCUAAAAACCUAGACAUUUUGCCACAUGGAGAGAGAAAAAAAAAAGGCAGAAAAGUGAGAUGCUGAGUGUGUAGAAGUUUGGCAAACAUUGUUAGAGGUGAUGAAUUUGUUCUUGAGCCUAAAACAAGCACUGAAAAGGAAAACACAAGAACCAAGGAAAGUUAAACCAUUUAAGUUGAAGCAUGCUGAACUUGGCUGGCAGUUUAAAGCAAGUGUGUUGAAGGAGAUUACAAAAUAGAAGACGUAGAUGAAUGGUGGAGUAGAAUAUCAAGGAAUUAUGUGAGAUGUGGAAAGGAAAUCUCGGAGAGAGCUGUGAGAAAAUAUAGGGAAAUAAGGAAACUUGGUUCAAUGAGGACAAAAAAAACAAGUAGUGGAAGGAAACUCAAUGGGAAAAUACCACCCAACAAAGGUAGGAGCAAGGAAGAUAAGAACACAGGAAUCAAGAAAGGACAAGGAAAGAUUUCAGUUUAGCAAAAACAAGACGAGAACCAAGGACACAACGCACAUUAGAGAAAUCAAUGGUAAGAAUGGAAGUGCUCAGUGAAGAAAGCGACAUGGUUAUGAGAUGGAAAUAUUAUUUUGAGCACCUAUUUAAGGAGAAGAAUGAAAAGAACUUUAAGAGGAGACUGACUCCUAAAUUAUGGAGUUGUUACUGGUAUAACAAGGGGAGAGGUUAAAGAAGCUCUGAUGAUGAUGAUGAAUGGCAAAGCAGCUGGGCCAAAGGGAAUUGAUGGAUAAGGGAAUGAUACCUAGGAAAUGGACAGCGAGUACAGUCUUUUAAUUAAAAGAAAGAUGUUUUAAGAAAGAUGUGCAGUUUUAAGAAAGAUGUGUUUUAAGAAAGAUGUGCAGUUUUAAGAAAGAUGUGCAGAGUUGUGAAAACUAAUGAAGAAUCAAACAUAUGUUGUCACACACUGAAAAUAUUUAAGAGAUAGAAGACUGUGACAAGAAGUUAUCAGAAGGCAGCAGCUAUGAUUCAUGAAGGAUCUUAGCAUUGUUCAUGGAGUUAGUCUCUGCAACAUGUAAUGAAAAAGUACAGAGUGAAAAAGACAUACGACUGUCAUGAGUGCCAAGGGAAAAAGUGCCAGAAAAAUACAUCAGAGUGAUCAAGGAAAUUUGGAAGUGGAACAACUAGUUACAAGCACAACCAGAAUAACUGUCAAAGUUAAAAGUAGGACUACAUCAAGGAUCCACAUUUGUCCCCUUUUUAACAUCAUAACCAAAAAAGGAGAGGAACUGCAUAGGUGCUUGUUCUAUACAGGUAGUAUAUUACUUGUUUCCAAGAUUAAAGAAGAGCUUGAAAGGAGACUUGUGGGGUGGAGAUAUGCUCUGGAAAGCCGAGAAAUGAAAAUAAGCAGGACAAAUAAUACAUGACAAAUGUAAUGGAAUGAAGACCAGCAAGCAACUAUUAUUAAUUUAGGAGGAGUUUCAAGAAGGUGUUUGAAUUUAAGUAUCUUGUCAGUGAUAGAUACAGCUGGUGUGAUUGGCAAUUUCUUUGCCAAAUUCAAUGUAGCUGGAAAAUGUGGAGAAAAAGCAGCAGGCGUGCUUUGUGAUAGAAUACCUAUUAAACAAUUUCAGGGUAAAAUCCACAAGACUGUAUAGUGAGUGAGGCCUACUAUGAUUUACAAACUAGAACCAGUGCCUGUGAAGAAAUUGGAAGAAAGCAAGCUCAGUGUCGCAGAAAUGAAGAUGCUGAGACAGAUGAGUGGAGUUACCAGAAAGGACAGGAUAAAAAAUGUAAAAGAAUCAGUAAGUCAAUGAAGUGUCAAGGAAAGUUCAGGAAGCAAGGCUAAGAUGAUUUAGUCAUCUGAUAAGUGGAAAGAAUAUAUUACAAGGGAAAUAUAUUGGAUAUGGAAGUGAGGGGAAUAUGAAGAGAAAAGAAAAAUGUAAGAGGUCUGUGUCAGUAAGGACAUGGACAAAGGAUUAGAUAAAAAGAAGGAAUACAAGAGAAAAAAAGGAAUAAAAGAUAUUCCUAAAAAAGAAAUACAAGAGAAAAAAAAAGGAAUACAAGACAUUCCUGUCUCUUAGAGGAAUCCUC
Scylla paramamosain (green mud crab) is the source of this 5059-nucleotide long non-coding RNA. RefSeq lists it as uncharacterized. NCBI's taxonomy places the organism in Eukaryota, Metazoa, Arthropoda, Malacostraca, Decapoda, Portunidae. The transcript is spliced from 2 exons. The record is from RefSeq and is a predicted model, not a curated record.